Molecule: ribosomal RNA, 923 nt
Filed under: uncultured bacterium
Lineage: Bacteria
Description: bacterial SSU rRNA
Rfam family: Bacterial small subunit ribosomal RNA
Source: RNAcentral
UAGGUGGUUUGUUACGUCGGUUGUGAAAUUCAGGGGCUCAACCCUGACUUGCAGCCGAUACGGGCAAGCUAGAGUUUGGUAGGGGAGACUGGAAUUCCUGGUGUAGCGGUGGAAUGCGCAGACAUCAGGAGGAACACCGAUGGCGAAGGCAGGUCUCUGGGCCAAUACUGACACUGAGGAGCGAAAGCGUGGGGAGCGAACAGGAUUAGAUACCCUGGUAGUCCACGCCGUAAACGGUGGGCGCUAGUUGUGCGAACCUUCCACGGUUUGUGCGACGCAGCUAACGCAUUAAGCGCCCCGCCUGGGGAGUACGAUCGCAAGAUUAAAACUCAAAGGAAUUGACGGGGCCCCGCACAAGCAGCGGAGCAUGCGGCUUAAUUCGACGCAACGCGAAGAACCUUACCAAGGCUUGACAUAUACAGGAAUAUGGCAGAAAUGUCAUAGCCGCAAGGUCUGUAUACAGGUGGUGCAUGGUUGUCGUCAGCUCGUGUCGUGAGAUGUUGGGUUAAGUCCCGCAACGAGCGCAACCCUCGUUCUGUGUUGCCAGCAUUUAGUUGGGGACUCACAGGAGACUGCCGGGGUUAACUCGGAGGAAGGUGGGGAUGACGUCAAAUCAUCAUGCCCCUUAUGUCUUGGGCUGCACGCAUGCUACAAUGGCUGGUACAAACGGCUGCGAUACCGCAAGGUGGAGCGAAUCCGAUAAAGCCAGUCUCAGUUCGGAUUGGGGUCUGCAACUCGACCCCAUGAAGUCGGAGUUGCUAGUAAUCGUAGAUCAGCAACGCUACGGUGAAUACGUUCCCGGGGCUUGUACACACCGCCCGUCACAUCACGAAAGUCGGUAACACCCAAAGUCAGUGGCCCAACCGCAAGGAGGGAGCUGCCAAAGGUGGGAUCGGUGAUUGGGAUGAAGUCGUAACAAGGUA